AUUAAUAACAGAGGUCGUGUACCUCACUAAUUAAU
Molecule: regulatory RNA element, 35 nt
Organism: Galbibacter marinus
Lineage: Bacteria; Pseudomonadati; Bacteroidota; Flavobacteriia; Flavobacteriales; Flavobacteriaceae
Rfam family: S16-Flavobacteria ribosomal protein leader
Source: Rfam